AUUUCACACUGCCGAGAAAAGCCUCUAGAUAGAAAAUAGGUGCCCGUACCGCAAACCGACACAGGUAGUCAAGAUGAGAAUUCUAAGGUGAGCGAGCGAACUCUCGUUAAGGAACUCGGCAAAAUGACCCCGUAACUUCGGGAGAAGGGGUGCUCUUUAGGGUUAACGCCCAGAAGAGCCGCAGUGAAUAGGCCCAAGCGACUGUUUAUCAAAAACACAGGUCUCUGCUAAACCGUAAGGUGAUGUAUAGGGGCUGACGCCUGCCCGGUGCUGGAAGGUUAAGAGGAGUGGUUAGCUUCUGCGAAGCUACGAAUCGAAGCCCCAGUAAACGGCGGCCGUAACUAUAACGGUCCUAAGGUAGCGAAAUUCCUUGUCGGGUAAGUUCCGACCCGCACGAAAGGCGUAACGAUUUGGGCACUGUCUCAACGAGAGACUCGGUGAAAUCAUAGUACCUGUGAAGAUGCAGGUUACCCGCGACAGGACGGAAAGACCCCGUGGAGCUUUACUGUAGCCUGAUAUUGAAAUUCGGCACAGCUUGUACAGGAUAGGUAGGAGCCUUUGAAACGUGAGCGCUAGCUUACGUGGAGGCGCUGGUGGGAUACUACCCUAGCUGUGUUGGCUUUCUAACCCGCACCACUUAUCGUGGUGGGAGACAGUGUCAGGCGGGCAGUUUGACUGGGGCGGUCGCCUCCUAAAAGGUAACGGAGGCGCUCAAAGGUUCCCUCAGAAUGGUUGGAAAUCAUUCAUAGAGUGUAAAGGCAUAAGGGAGCUUGACUGCGAGACCUACAAGUCGAGCAGGGUCGAAAGACGGACUUAGUGAUCCGGUGGUUCCGCAUGGAAGGGCCAUCGCUCAACGGAUAAAAGCUACCCCGGGGAUAACAGGCUUAUCUCCCCCAAGAGUUCACAUCGACGGGGAGGUUUGGCACCUCGAUGUCGGCUCAUCGCAUCCUGGGGCUGUAGUCGGUCCCAAGGGUUGGGCUGUUCGCCCAUUAAAGCGGUACGCGAGCUGGGUUCAGAACGUCGUGAGACAGUUCGGUCCCUAUCCGUCGUGGGCGUAGGAAAUUUGAGAGGAGCUGUCCUUAGUACGAGAGGACCGGGAUGGACAUACCUCUGGUGUACCAGUUGUCGUGCCAACGGCAUAGCUGGGUAGCUAUGUGUGGACGGGAUAAGUGCUGAAAGCAUCUAAGCAUGAAGCCCCCCUCAAGAUGAGAUUUCCCAACUUCGGUUAUAAGAUCCCUCAAAGAUGAUGAGGUUAAUAGGUUCGAGGUGGAAGCAUGGUGACAUGUGGAGCUGACGAAUACUAA
Molecule: ribosomal RNA, 1304 nt
Filed under: Staphylococcus aureus
Lineage: Bacteria; Bacillati; Bacillota; Bacilli; Caryophanales; Staphylococcaceae
Description: partial 23S ribosomal RNA
Rfam family: Bacterial large subunit ribosomal RNA
Source: RNAcentral